UACGGAGGGUGCAAGCGUUAUCCGGAUUCACUGGGUUUAAAGGGUGCGUAGGUGGGCAGGUAAGUCAGUGGUGAAAUCCCCGAGCUUAACUUGGGAACUGCCAUUGAUACUAUUUGUCUUGAAUACUGUGGAGGUUAGCGGAAUAUGUCAUGUAGCGGUGAAAUGCUUAGAUAUGACAUAGAACAUCAAUUGCGAAGGCAGCUGGCUACACAAAUAUUGACACUGAUGCACGAAAGCGUGGGGAUCAAACAGG
RNAcentral lists this ribosomal RNA (253 nucleotides) under uncultured bacterium. RNAcentral describes it as "partial 16S ribosomal RNA". It matches the Rfam family "Bacterial small subunit ribosomal RNA", at positions 524 to 776 of the family's 1533-position model. The record is from RNAcentral.